Molecule: ribosomal RNA, 465 nt
Filed under: uncultured bacterium
Lineage: Bacteria
Description: partial 16S ribosomal RNA
Rfam family: Bacterial small subunit ribosomal RNA
Source: RNAcentral
GACGAACGCUGGCGGCGUGCUUAACACAUGCAAGUCGAACGGAAAGGCCCCUUUGGGGGUACUCGAGUGGCGAACGGGUGAGUAACACGUGAGUAACCUGCCCUUGACUUCGGGAUAACUUCAGGAAACUGGGGCUAAUACCGGAUAGGAAUCCUUGCUGCAUGGUGGGUGUUGGAAAGCUUCGGCGGUUUUGGAUGGACUCGCGGCUUAUCAGCUUGUUGGUGGGGUAGUGGCUUACCAAGGCUUUGACGGGUAGCCGGCCUGAGAGGGCGACCGGCCACAAUGGGACUGAGAUACGGCCCAGACUCCUACGGGAGGGAGCAGUGGGGAAUAUUGCACAAUGGGGGGAAGGCCGAUGCAGCAACGGCGCGGGCGGGAAGACGGGCUUCGGGUUGGAAACCGCUUUCAGCAGGGGCGAAGCUGGUGGUGACGGUACCUGCAGAAGAAGCACCGGCUAACUACGUG